GGACCCGCACAAGCGGUGGAACAUGUGGUUCAAUUCGAUGCUACGCGAAGAACCUCACCAGGGCUUGACAUGUAGGAAGUAGUGAACUGAAAGGGGAACGACCUGUUAAGUCAGGAGCCUACACAGGUGCUGCAUGGCUGUCGUCAGCUCGUGUCGUGAGAUGUUGGGUUAAGUCCCGCAACGAGCGCAACCAUUAUCUUUAGUUGCCACUUCUUGUUGUCGUAAGACAGUAAGGAAGCACUCUAGAGAGACUGCCUGGGAUAACCAGGAGGAAGGUGGAGAUGACGUCAAGUCAGUACGGCCUUUAUGUCCUGGGCUACACACGUGUUACAAUGGGGAGAACAAUGGGUUGCCAACCCGCGAGGGGGAGCUAAUCCCACAAAUCUACCCCCAGUUCGGAUUGAAGUCUGCAAUUCGACUUCAUGAAGCCGGAAUCGCUAGUAAUGGCAGAUCAGCAGGCUGCCGUGAAUACGUUCCCGGGUCUU
RNAcentral lists this ribosomal RNA (485 nucleotides) under uncultured bacterium. Its description in RNAcentral is "bacterial SSU rRNA". It matches the Rfam family "Bacterial small subunit ribosomal RNA", at positions 917 to 1382 of the family's 1533-position model. The record is from RNAcentral.